GACGAACGCUGGCGGCGUGCCUAAUACAUGCAAGUCGAACGCAGUGGGGACGGGUGAGUAACACGUGGGUAACCUCCCAUCAGAGGGGAUAACACUUGGAAACAGGUGCUAAACCGAUACUGAUGGAUGGACCCGCGGUGCAUUAGCCAGUUGGUGAGGUAACGGCCCACCAAGGCCACGAUGCAUAGCCGACCUUGGAGGUUGACCGCGCAUACUGGGACUGAGACACGGCCCAGACUCCUACGUGAUGCAGCAGUAGUGAAUCUUCGUCAAUGGACGAAAGUCUGACCGAGCAACGCCGCGUGAGUGAAGAAGGUUUUCGGAUCGUAAAACUCUGUUGUUAGAGAAGCGGUAUCUAACCAGAAAGCCCCGGCUAACUACGUGCCAGCAGCCGCGGUAAUAC
This 403-nucleotide ribosomal RNA is filed under the name uncultured bacterium. RNAcentral describes it as "partial 16S ribosomal RNA". It matches the Rfam family "Bacterial small subunit ribosomal RNA", at positions 28 to 526 of the family's 1533-position model. The record is from RNAcentral.